Long non-coding RNA from Betta splendens (Siamese fighting fish), 2641 nucleotides. Ensembl annotates it as junctional cadherin complex regulator. Lineage: Eukaryota; Metazoa; Chordata; Actinopteri; Anabantiformes; Osphronemidae. The record is from Ensembl.
GAACGGAAUCGGAUUACCUAAUGUGUGCGGCGUUGCCAUAGUUGCAGUGUAAGGGAGACUACUGACCGAGCAAAACAGCCCAGAGGGAAAAUCGCACUGCUGGAGAAAGAUUAACCUUAUAGAAAUGGAAUACUUGGAUGCACAAGGAACACGCCAGCUUCUGACGACCAACCAGAAGAUAAAUGGCUCCUUCACUGAGAAUCCAAAGAUUUGCAUUGAGGAGUAUCAGUCUAAAGAAGAAUACAGUCAGUCGUGUAGUGAUAUAUACCAACCCGAAAUAAAUGGACAAUACAGAUAUAAUAUUAACACUGGGCCAAUUGUAGUUGAGACUCCUCAUGACCAGCCGUACCACCUUCACCCACCAUAUGUUCAGAGCUCGGAAGAAAUUCAAGGUUGUCAUAAAAAUAAUUUGCAACAAAGAUCACCACAUAAUGAACUUCGCAAGUUGUCCAGAUUUUCUGUUGUAAAUGAAAGUGACAGAGGUUCACAAAGAGAAUCAAUAGAGAGUUGUAAUAAUGGCUUUGUGAAUGCUAAAAAUGUUGGCAUGUAUCUUCAGGUAACAGAGGAUACAAAUGCUUUAGAAUUACAAACCUGCUACCAGCAAGAACCUAGACAAACACAGCAGAGUUCCAGUCAAAAACAGAAACUGAGCAAAUCCACAUUGAGUCCCAAAGAUGUAUGGAACAAAAAACCUGGAAGAAAGACAAAGGAUAUAGUGGAACGUAACAAAAUAACCCUGGGCCACAACACAUCCAGAUCCAAUUUUGGCUCCUAUGUGAGGAUUCACAUGUUGAAACAGGAGAGGCCUCAUGAUGUGAAUGAGGCACACAGUCUGAGAGACUACAAACAGCAGACACGUACAAAUUUGCGAGGCCUAGGAUCUGACCACUCCGUCACUGAAAAGACAAAUAGAAAGAAAAGUGGGAUUCCUUUUCUACUGGCUAAGGAUGUGGAAGAUGACGACAAGAAAGUUCUCAGGACAAAGGCUUUGGAAUAUGCUAAGACCAUAUCUAAACGCCCUUUACAGUUUCAACCAAAACAGAGACAGAGGCAGCCAAUGAACGUCUUCACUGCUUGUGCACCCUACUUGCAGGAUGUGGAUGCAUUGCAGCUGGCCACACUGGAACUACUUAGAAAACGACAUGAAGAAGAGAAGCAGGCUGUGGCACACUUUGGAAAAAGUGCAUCUUAUAUAAAGCAAGAAAUAAACACACAAGCAAAAAUAAAAUAGAUAUUGAUUAUUGAAAUCUUAAGUAGAACUAAGUUUCCACACCUUAAGUGAUUUCCAAAGUGAAAAGCAGUAGAGGGUGGAAAAGGAACAAGUGAUAAUGGCCAAUUCUGUGAACUGCACUGCUUCUUCACUAAGCUGCACUGCUCUGGACAAACACUUCCUCUUCAUACUGGUCAUAACUGAAUCCCUACUUUUCUUGCAGUUGAAUAUUUUUCAUCCCACAGAGUUGUAGUUUUGUUUCAAAACUUGGUGUUUUUACUUCUCCUAUUGCACUUGCUAAAGAGGUAAUUAAAGCUGUGUUUCAGUGCUAUAUAUGAAAGUGGACAAGUUAGCACCCCAUCUGUGGUAGAUGUGUUAACUUUGAUUUGGGAAGCAUGCUUUCAGGUGGCAGGCUUUCAGAAAAUGAGGCCUGCUAUUUUAGGCUGAAAUGAGUUCAUGUGUUUCAAAAUCAUUAAUAUUUUAAUUGAUCACUUUUUGACUAGUUACUGUACUUUUCUGCUGCAAUCAAAAUUUCACUUGAAGACAGCAUGAAUUGCUCUUUAAAAUGCAUGAAGGAUGACAAAUACAGGAAGAAGAGAGGAUUCCAUACGCAAACGUUUAUAAGAAAUGCAAAUGUGUGUAUGUCUGUCUCCUUGUUACACAAUAUCAAGUAUAUUAAGCUGUGUCAGAUUUAAACUCUUUUUUUUUGUUAAAACUUAAAAAGUUCAUUUGUAAGACUAGAUGUACAAUUACUGUAUUUAUACUUAAAGUUUGGACUUGGGACGGCGGUUUUAAUGGUGAGGUUCUAUUCUGACAGAUAGGUAAUGCCCUAUGAUAUACCCCUUUUUUAACAACCUAAACUUACAUAAAAUUAUUAAAGUGAUAAAAAAUGUAAUGUAAUGUAACAUAAUGCCCUCCUGCAUUAUUGGUACUCAGUGCUUCUUAUUCAUCUAUUCAAAAUUCACAAGCCAAUGGCAGAGUUGCUAUGUGGGUUGACCUACAGACUGGGGGCAUUGUAGGGUUCAGGGUCUCGCCCAGGGUGAUGUUGGCAUAUGACAGUAGAAACCACCAAUCAUUUUUUCCCUAUAAAUCUUUACAGAAUUAAAAAUUAAAUGGUAUCUCCAAAUUUAACAGAAGUACAAUACCUAUGUACCAUGUCUGUUUGUUGUAUACAUAAAGCAAGUAGACAUACGUAAUUGUACAGUACGUGCAAUGUGUAUCAGCACAGUAGACAAAUGUCAAGUUUUUGUGACUGAGGACCUGCAGUCCCAAUGAAGUGAUACAGGCAUAUACAGUAUAUCAGCAUUGAGACUGAACAGAAUUGUUAGUAGCAUGAAACCAUUUGUUACAGAUUUGUAACCGCUUGUUUCUUUUACUUUUGUAUGCUUGUAGAAAAACCUGCUCAAAUGAAUAAAAACACUUUGAAGUUCA